RNAcentral lists this microRNA precursor (78 nucleotides) under Schistosoma margrebowiei. RNAcentral's name for it is "mir-3492 microRNA precursor family". It matches the Rfam family "mir-3492 microRNA precursor family". The record is from Rfam by way of RNAcentral. Lineage: Eukaryota; Metazoa; Platyhelminthes; Trematoda; Strigeidida; Schistosomatidae.
AGCUUUCUGAAUUCAUGCAAAAAUUUCGUCAGACACAAACCCGUUAGGGUUGAUCAGACUUCCAAGAUAAGUGAAGUU